This 1499-nucleotide ribosomal RNA is filed under the name metagenome. RNAcentral's name for it is "bacterial SSU rRNA". It matches the Rfam family "Bacterial small subunit ribosomal RNA". The record is from RNAcentral.
AGAGUUUGAUCAUGGCUCAGAUUGAACGCUGGCGGCAGGCCUAACACAUGCAAGUCGAACGGUAACAGGAAGCAGCUUGCUGCUUCGCUGACGAGUGGCGGACGGGUGAGUAAUGUCUGGGAAGCUGCCUGAUGGAGGGGGAUAACUACUGGAAACGGUAGCUAAUACCGCAUAAUGUCGCAAGACCAAAGAGGGGGACCUUCGGGCCUCUUGCCAUCGGAUGUGCCCAGAUGGGAUUAGCUUGUUGGUGGGGUAACGGCUCACCAAGGCGACGAUCCCUAGCUGGUCUGAGAGGAUGACCAGCCACACUGGAACUGAGACACGGUCCAGACUCCUACGGGAGGCAGCAGUGGGGAAUAUUGCACAAUGGGCGCAAGCCUGAUGCAGCCAUGCCGCGUGUAUGAAGAAGGCCUUCGGGUUGUAAAGUACUUUCAGCGGGGAGGAAGGGAGUAAAGUUAAUACCUUUGCUCAUUGACGUUACCCGCAGAAGAAGCACCGGCUAACUCCGUGCCAGCAGCCGCGGUAAUACGGAGGGUGCAAGCGUUAAUCGGAAUUACUGGGCGUAAAGCGCACGCAGGCGGUUUGUUAAGUCAGAUGUGAAAUCCCCGGGCUCAACCUGGGAACUGCAUCUGAUACUGGCAAGCUUGAGUCUCGUAGAGGGGGGUAGAAUUCCAGGUGUAGCGGUGAAAUGCGUAGAGAUCUGGAGGAAUACCGGUGGCGAAGGCGGCCCCCUGGACGAAGACUGACGCUCAGGUGCGAAAGCGUGGGGAGCAAACAGGAUUAGAUACCCUGGUAGUCCACGCCGUAAACGAUGUCGACUUGGAGGUUGUGCCCUUGAGGCGUGGCUUCCGGAGCUAACGCGUUAAGUCGACCGCCUGGGGAGUACGGCCGCAAGGUUAAAACUCAAAUGAAUUGACGGGGGCCCGCACAAGCGGUGGAGCAUGGGGUUUAAUUCGAUGCAACGCGAAGAACCUUACCUGGUCUUGACAUCCACGGAAGUUUUCAGAGAUGAGAAUGUGCCUUCGGGAACCGUGAGACAGGUGCUGCAUGGCUGUCGUCAGCUCGUGUUGUGAAAUGUUGGGUUAAGUCCCGCAACGAGCGCAACCCUUAUCCUUUGUUGCCAGCGGUCCGGCCGGGAACUCAAAGGAGACUGCCAGUGAUAAACUGGAGGAAGGUGGGGAUGACGUCAAGUCAUCAUGGCCCUUACGACCAGGGCUACACACGUGCUACAAUGGCGCAUACAAAGAGAAGCGACCUCGCGAGAGCAAGCGGACCUCAUAAAGUGCGUCGUAGUCCGGAUUGGAGUCUGCAACUCGACUCCAUGAAAUCGGAAUCGCUAGUAAUCGUGGAUCAGAAUGCCACGGUGAAUACGUUCCCGGGCCUUGUACACACCGCCCGUCACACCAUGGGAGUGGGUUGCAAAGAAGUAGGUAGCUUAACCUUCGGGAGGGCGCUUACCACUUUGUGAUUCAUGACUGGGGUGAAGUCGUAACAAGGUA